GUGGUGACAGGUCAACCAUGUGGCCCCAAAGUGGACAUAUGGUCUUUGGGAAUCGUGGGCAUCGAAAUGGUGGAACGAGAAGUUCCUUCCUGGAAUGCAACUCCUGUCUUGCCUCAACUCCUGAUAGCCACAGGAGGAAGACAAAAGCUGCAGCAGCCCAACCUAUUUUCAUCUUGCCUGCGUGACUUCCUGAGCUGCUGCCUGCAGAGAGAUGAGGCGCGGCGCUGGUCUGCCAAGGAGCUCCUGCAGCAUCCAUUUGUAACAUCAGCCGAGGCUGCAUCCACCCUGGCACCACUCAUCAUCUCAGUGAAGAGGAGGAUGGAGAAGCAAACAGUGCUAUAAUCACAUCAGGACCAUUUUCUCCAUAGCCAUCUUAGAGAGUAGGAUUGUAGAGUAGGAGUGUAGAGUAGGAUUUAGAGUAGGAUUUAGAGUAGGACUAUGUGGAGAAAAGAAAAAAGACUCUGCACAAUCCACUGUGAAUCAAGGAGAAGCCAUUUAUUGUGCUUCUAAACAUAGUUUAUAAUUAGUUCCUAUCCUAUAGCUUUCUGUAGUCAUGCAUUGUUUGGUUGCAUCUUUUUCUUAAUCCAAUUGGUAGAUGCUGUAAGGGUCAUUUUAUUUGUGUUGCUACCCCUUUGUCUGUCAGCAACUCUUCUGCUUCUUCUUUCUGCUCACAACAUCACCUUUUUAUCCACAACGUUGAAUGCAGCUUUAUUAAAAACCUGACUUAGUCCUAGAAGGUUAGUUAGUUUAGUUAGCUCCAGAAGGUUAGGCUGGUUCAUUUAGUGCCUGUCCAUUUUUCUGUAAAUACCACCCUAGAGGAUUAUAGAGUAGGAUUGUAAAUAAAUAAAGUUUCUGAAACUUU
Zonotrichia leucophrys gambelii is the source of this 862-nucleotide long non-coding RNA. RefSeq lists it as uncharacterized. The transcript has 3 exons. NCBI's taxonomy places the organism in Eukaryota, Metazoa, Chordata, Aves, Passeriformes, Passerellidae. The record is from RefSeq and is a predicted model, not a curated record.